AUAUACGACCGUACCGCAAACCGACACUGGUGCGCGAGAUGAGUAUUCUAAGGCGCUUGAGAGAACUCAGGAGAAGGAACUCGGCAAAUUGACACCGUAACUUCGGAAGAAGGUGUGCCUUAUUAGUGUGAAGUGAACAACGGAGCAUGAAUGGGUUGCAAAAAAUCGGUGGCUGCGACUGUUUAUUAAAAACACAGCACUCUGCAAACACGAAAGUGGACGUAUAGGGUGUGACGCCUGCCCGGUGCUGGAAGAUUAAAUGAUGGGGUGCAAGCUCUUGAUUGAAGUCCCAGUAAACGGCGGCCGUAACUAUAACGGUCCUAAGGUAGCGAAAUUCCUUGUCGGGUAAGUUCCGACCUGCACGAAUGGCGUAACGAUGGCCACACUGUCUCCUCCUGAGACUCAGCGAAGUUGAAAUGUUUGUGAUGAUGCAAUCUCCCCGCGGAAAGACGGAAAGACCCCAUGAACCUUUACUGUAGCUUUGUAUUGGACUUUGAACAGAUCUGUGUAGGAUAGGUGGGAGGCUUUGAAGCAGGGUCGCUAGAUCUUGUGGAGCCAACGUUGAAAUACCACCCUGGUGUGUUUGAGGUUCUAACCUAGGUCCAUUAUCUGGAUCGGGGACAGUGCAUGGUAGGCAGUUUGACUGGGGCGGUCUCCUCCCAAAGCGUAACGGAGGAGUUCGAAGGUACGCUAGUUACGGUCGGACAUCGUGACGGUAGUGCAAUGGCAUAAGCGUGCUUAACUGUGAGACUGACAAGUCGAGCAGAUGCGAAAGCAGGACAUAGUGAUCCGGUGGUUCUGUAUGGAAGGGCCAUCGCUCAACGGAUAAAAGGUACUCUGGGGAUAACAGGCUGAUACCGCCUAAGAGUUCAUAUCGACGGCGGUGUUUGGCACCUCGAUGUCGGCUCAUCUCAUCCUGGGGCUGUAGCCGGUCCCAAGGGUAUGGCUGUUCGCCAUUUAAAGAGGUACGUGAGCUGGGUUUAAAACGUCGUGAGACAGUUUGGUCCCUAUCUUCCGUGGGCGCUGCAGAUUUGAGGAAGCCUGCUCCUAGUACGAGAGGACCGGAGUGGACACACCUCUGGUGUAUCGGUUGUCACGCCAGUGGCAUUGCCGAGUAGCUAAGUGUGGAAGAGAUAACCGCUGAAAGCAUCUAAGCGGGAAACUCGUUUCAAGAUGAGAUCUGCCGGGGCCUUGAGCCCCCUGAAGAGUCGUUCAAGACCAGGACGUUGAUAGGUCAGGUGUGGAAGCCA
This 1250-nucleotide ribosomal RNA is filed under the name metagenome. RNAcentral describes it as "bacterial LSU rRNA". It matches the Rfam family "Bacterial large subunit ribosomal RNA", at positions 1634 to 2876 of the family's 2925-position model. The record is from RNAcentral.